GCGCCGUUGGUUUUAGUGGUAAAAAUAUCUCGUUGCCAACGAGAUGCCCCCGGGUUCGAUUCCCCGGACGGCGCA
Molecule: transfer RNA, 75 nt
Filed under: Phytophthora infestans T30-4
Lineage: Eukaryota; Oomycota; Peronosporomycetes; Peronosporales; Peronosporaceae
Rfam family: tRNA
About the family: Transfer RNA (tRNA) molecules are approximately 80 nucleotides in length. Their secondary structure includes four short double-helical elements and three loops (D, anti-codon, and T loops). Further hydrogen bonds mediate the characteristic L-shaped molecular structure. tRNAs have two regions of fundamental functional importance: the anti-codon, which is responsible for specific mRNA codon recognition, and the 3' end, to which the tRNAs corresponding amino acid is attached (by aminoacyl-tRNA synthetases). tRNAs cope with the degeneracy of the genetic code in two manners: having more than one tRNA (with a specific anti-codon) for a particular amino acid; and 'wobble' base-pairing, i.e. permitting non-standard base-pairing at the 3rd anti-codon position.
Source: Rfam by way of RNAcentral